GAAAGAGUGGAUCGGACGGAACCCUAUAUCGGAGUGUCUGUUCGGCGGAGAGAGAGAGAGCAUGGAGGAAGAGAAACUAAGAGAGUUGAAGCAGUUCAUAGAGUCAUGCAGGUCCAAUCCCUCACUCCUCCACAUUCCAUCCCUUUCCUUCUUCAAGGCUUAUCUCCUCAACCUCGGUGCUCGUAUCCCUCCCCAACCCAAAACGG
Molecule: small RNA, 206 nt
Filed under: Vigna angularis var. angularis
Lineage: Eukaryota; Viridiplantae; Streptophyta; Magnoliopsida; Fabales; Fabaceae
Description: Non-protein coding transcript
Source: RNAcentral